CUGGGCACUAAAAUGGCAGAUGAAAUUUAAUAUAGAGAAAUGCAAAGUUAUGCACUUCGGGGUUAAGAAUGCACAAGCAACUUACACACUAAAUGGUAGUUAAUUAGGGAUAACCACACACGAGAAGGAUUUGGGAAUUGUUAUAGACAACAAAUUAGGCAGCAAUAUGCAAUGUCAAUCUGCAGUUGCUAAGGCCAGUAAGAUUUUGUCAUGUAUAAAUAGGGGCAUAAAUUCUCGGGAUGAAAAUAUAAUUUUGCCUCUUUAUAAAUCGCUGGUAAACCCACACCUUGAAUAUGCUGUGCAAUUUUGGGCGCCUGUUCUAAAGAAGGCUAUCACGGCACUGGAGAGGGUCCAGAGACGAGCUACAAAAUUGAUAAAAGGAAUGGAGCAUUUUAGUUAUGAAGAAAGGUUAAAAAAUUAAAUCUGUUUAG
Molecule: non-coding RNA, 431 nt
Organism: Pelobates cultripes (western spadefoot toad)
Lineage: Eukaryota; Metazoa; Chordata; Amphibia; Anura; Pelobatidae
Source: the annotation of a GenBank genome assembly